Molecule: transfer RNA, 74 nt
Filed under: Pteropus alecto (black flying fox)
Lineage: Eukaryota; Metazoa; Chordata; Mammalia; Chiroptera; Pteropodidae
Rfam family: tRNA
About the family: Transfer RNA (tRNA) molecules are approximately 80 nucleotides in length. Their secondary structure includes four short double-helical elements and three loops (D, anti-codon, and T loops). Further hydrogen bonds mediate the characteristic L-shaped molecular structure. tRNAs have two regions of fundamental functional importance: the anti-codon, which is responsible for specific mRNA codon recognition, and the 3' end, to which the tRNAs corresponding amino acid is attached (by aminoacyl-tRNA synthetases). tRNAs cope with the degeneracy of the genetic code in two manners: having more than one tRNA (with a specific anti-codon) for a particular amino acid; and 'wobble' base-pairing, i.e. permitting non-standard base-pairing at the 3rd anti-codon position.
Source: Rfam by way of RNAcentral
GGCUCCAUAGUGUAGUGGUUAGCACGCCUGCUUUACACGCAGAAGGUCCUGCGUUCGCGCCCCAGGUGGAGCCA